Neofelis nebulosa (Clouded leopard) is the source of this 4097-nucleotide long non-coding RNA. RefSeq lists it as uncharacterized. NCBI's taxonomy places the organism in Eukaryota, Metazoa, Chordata, Mammalia, Carnivora, Felidae. The transcript is spliced from 3 exons. The record is from RefSeq and is a predicted model, not a curated record.
CACAUCCCAAACCCCCAGAAAAUCACGAGUCCCUGCGAGACAAGUGCAGACCCGCGUUCACCGCUGGUGGGACUGAAACAUGACACACAGCCUCUGUGGGGAAAACGGUCUGGCGGGUCCUCGGGGAGUCAGACAGCGCUACGCCGUGAUGCCCCUGCCAGGACCCCACCCCCGGGGGAAAAAAAACACGUGUUCGCACAGAAACCUGUGCGCGGACGUUGCCAGCAGCAGCCUCCACGAUAACCCCGAAGCGAAGACCACGCACGUGUCCACGGGUGGACGGUGGAACAGACGAAGCGUGGCGUCUCCACGCAGGGACCGUCCCUCGGCCUUAAACAAACAUCGGGGCCCCCGGCCGGCUCUUGAUCUCAGGGUGGGGAGUUCCAGCCCCGCGCUGGGGGUACAGGUGACCCGAAAAGGCAUCGAUCGAUACGUGCUACGGUUCGGAUGGACCUCGAGACCAUGAUGCUAAGCCAAAGAAGGCAAUUACGAAACGUCACCCGGUAAAUGUCACACGGCAUAGAAUUCCUUUUAUGCCAAGUGUCCAGAGCAGGCAAAUGUUUGCAGGCAGAAAACAGGUUAGUGGCUGCUGGGGAAUUUGGGGUGGAGGAAGCCGGGAGUGGUUACUUAAUGGGCGUGGGCUGUUCCGUGGAGAUAACAAAGUUUUGAAACUCGGCCCACGUGGUGGUUGCAUAACCCUAUGAACUCCCAAGUGCCACCGAAAUGGCUCACUUCAUUUUAUUUGAAUUUCGGUACAAACAAGAGAGAGAGAGACACAAAGAAACUGAGCGCCGGUGUCGGGAGAAAAGCGCGGCAGCCGAGGUCAGAAGCGGUUUAGAUCUGUUCGUGGCCUGCCUCUGCGUGGUCACUCGAAAACGGUGGGUCGUGCGCUGCACAGACCUCACGGUGGUUAGAAAACGGAACAAGAGGAAGGGGUCGGGCCAGAGAGAGCUCUCGGGGGGGGGCCGUGUCUCCCACGGGACCUCCAAGGGGUGGAAACCCCAGGUUUCUGGCUGGGAGGAGAGGAGGGGCCGGGUGUCCGAGGAGGAAGGGUCUGAGUGACCGCUGGCGGGACGGGGACCAGGCAGGGGCAGGAGAGGCGCCUGGGCCCCCCCGCCCCGUGAGGCUGGCCAGGGGUCGCCCGGGUGCACCAAGCACGGCUACCGUCUCGCCAGUCCGGGCACCCGGCCGGCUCCCCGUCGGCCCUCAUCUCGCCACCUGCGACUGCGAGUGUUUGCCGUGUAACUGUCACCCACACUCAGGCCCAGUUGACUCACGCCCCCCACGAGGCAAGGCCACUCCUCCUUGCCGGGAAGGGAGGUCAGGAAUGUCCCGCUCGCACGGCCGGGGCAGGGCAAAGCUACUGGUCCUCUUCUGGGUCGGGGGCCCCUGCACGGCCCCACCUGCGGCUUCCUGCCCCCUGGUUCCCAACGAGCCUCGCGCCCGACCACAAACCCUGACGUCCGUGCUUGUUCCUCUCACGGCAAGGGCAAGCCACUUCGGGGGGUGGGCACAGCACCUCCAAACCUCCCUCAGCCAGACGCCCCUCAGGUGUCACUUGUAACGCCCGAGCCUGUCACCAUCUGACCCCGAAUAAGUGAGGCCAACUAUUUCUAGUGCUACAUUCGUGCUGUGCUUGCUGUAUGCCGGGCCCAGGGCUUGAGCUCCAACACCCCAGCAUUUUUAUCUUCAUUUCACCGCCGAGGGCAAGAUACAGGAAACCCGACUUUCAAAACACUUAGCCACCAGGACGGCUUGGGCACUGAUCCCUCAGACUAGCAGCCAAACAGGUGCAAACCGGCUGAAAAUCGCUCAGUUCCACAAGGCGCUCUCACGAACGUUGGAGGACAUCUCCAGGACAACUUCUCUGAUCCACAGCACAGGAAGGGACCAAGUUGACAGAGGGUCUCCCGGUGGAUGACAGAGCCAGCACAAGACCCGAGUUCCUAUGAAUCUCCCGGAUGCAGACUUACUCCCUCCUGCAUUCCUUACCUUUCCCGUUUGACAAGCUCUUCAGUCACUCACCUCUGUAUCUACCCAUCAUCCACCCAUCUCCUUCCUCCCUCCCUCCCUUCCUCUCUCCCAUCCAUCCAUCGAUCCAUCCUUCCUUCCUUCCUUCUAUCCACUCAUCUAUCCAUCCAUCCAUUCAUCCACCCAUCCAUCCAUCCAUCCAUCCAUCCAUCCAUCCUUCCUUCCUUCCAUCCACUCAUCUUUCCAUCCAUCCAAUCAACCAUCCAUCCAUUCAUCCAUCCAACCAUCCAUCCAUCCAACCAUCCAUCCAUCUCCUCCCUCCCUCCCAUCCAUCCAUCCAUCCAUCCAUCCAUCCAUCCAUCCUUCCUUCCUUCUAUCCACUCAUCUAUCCAUCCAUCCAAUCAACCAUCCAUCCAUUCAUCCAUCCAACCAUCCAUCCAUGCAUCCUUCUAUACUUCCAUCCCCUCCCUCCCUCCUUUCCUUCCCUCCUUCCCUCCCUCCAGCCAGCCAUUGCUCCUUCUAUCCACUCCACCAUACAGGCCCCUCUACAGACAGUUGUCCACCCGACCACUUAACCAACGCCCUAUCUUCCCGCUACACAAAGUCAGCACGUAGCUGUGGAAAAAGCUCCAUCACUUGCCAGAAGGCCUACUGAACUUCCCCACGUCUCAGCUGCUUUAUCUGGGAACCCCCAGACCCCAGAAGCGCAAACUCGUGCCAGCCUCUGCAUGCCCGGGAGCCUGAGAACGUGCCCACCACCUGCCACCAGAGGCACCAGUUAACCUGAACGUCUCACCUGCUGGGUGAGUUUCCUCCUGCUGCGUGACGAAUCACCGCACAGGUAGGGGCUCAGGACAACACAGACAUCAUCUCAUAGUUCUCAAGGUCAGAAGUCCAUGUGGAGGUGACGGGCUCCCCUGCCUCCCCUGGAGGUGACGGGCGCAUCUCCCUGCCUCUUCCUCUUCUGCUUUGAAGGGCCCACGUGAUUGUCCUGGGGCCCUUGGGCAAUCCGUUAACGUCAGCUGGCUGAAAGCCUUGAUUUCGUCUGCAAAGUCCCUUCACAGCAGUGCUUGGACUGUGUCUGAACAAAUAACCCAGGACGGAACUUUCGGGCCGCCGCCCGAGGGCCCAGCAGGGCUGUGCUGCCAGUGCCACCUCUGUAGAGGUACAGAGGACCGGAAGCACGGAGAGGCCAUCCCAGAGGUGAUUCCCAGAGGGAGCCAGACGUGCAGACAAACCCACCAUGAAAACGAGUGUAGGCAGCAAAGGACACAGGGCACACGACUGAGCCCGUAUCUGGGGCGAGUCACUUUUAUGGUGCAAACCACUUGCCCGGGUCGCACCGUGAAUCCUCAGUGGGACCAGACCCAGACACUGGUCUCCAGCUGACCAAGCCACCGCCUUCCUCACUGCAUCUCACACCCUCCUGAUCCACACCACAGGGUCACCGGGGCCCCAGCCCAGGGGGCAGGUCUUGGGUCAGAGGUCAGAGGCGCCUGGGAUGGGCAGGUGCCGUGUUUCCUGCUGCGGGAGAGGCCAGCUGUGCGUCCUCCUGAGGCCGGGGACUUACCAAACCUCACUGCAGGGCAGUAUCCGAGAUCUUUGCCUCAAAGUGCACCAGAGGGACAUCCAGACGGGAGCAAAGUCACAAACUGACAAAGAUCCACUUUAUCUGCCAGGACAGAGUCUGCAGGCACCGAUGCCGGUUCUCCUGCAGAGUCAGUGUCCACACGCCGCAAGAGAUCACCCUUAGGCCCCUUCCGUGCACGUUCCUGGGCCCCUACCCACCAGCCACAUCCUAGGAGACAACCCUCAUCCCCCCCCCCCCCCACCAACCUGGUCCCCUGGGGCCUCAGAGCACAGCCUGGGCUGAGAACUUUGGGAGAGAAAAGCCCUGGGGAGAGAGGUGGGAGCUGAGACAGAACGGCCCCACAGGCCCUGACCGCACCCCAAAUUGCCUCUGGCUGCAAAAAUGGAGAAUGACAGACUGCAGUAGAUCAAACCUGGGUUCAGAUUCCCAACACACGCUUCCUGGGACAGUUACCACAAACUCUGGGGCCUCAGUUUCCCCAUCCAUAAAAUGGGAGUGUGGGUGGGGGGUGAACAACCUGUGGCAAGUACAAAGG